GUACAUUAUCCUGGGAUUGCUGGUCCUGAUCCGGAGCACCCUUAGCCGUUGGGAUUGAGUGUGGUUCCCACUAGCCCCUCUGCGUUAUGAUAAAUUCCCGACCAAAUUUUACAGUACCAUCGCUGUUAGCGAUAGUUUUGUUGGGGAAAAAAAGGCAUUGUCUCACUCGUGUGGUAAUAUCUAUGGAGGAAUAUGGCACUGAUGUGGGUUCAUGAAGCAUGUUACAAACGUCUUCCAUUUAUUUAAAGGAACUCUUCACUGCCAAAAUGCAAAAUAAAAACACUGUUUAGUA
Long non-coding RNA from Pelobates fuscus (common spadefoot toad), 292 nucleotides. RefSeq lists it as uncharacterized. Lineage: Eukaryota; Metazoa; Chordata; Amphibia; Anura; Pelobatidae. The transcript is spliced from 2 exons. The record is from RefSeq and is a predicted model, not a curated record.